This 1188-nucleotide ribosomal RNA is filed under the name Triticum aestivum (bread wheat). Its description in RNAcentral is "partial small subunit ribosomal RNA". Lineage: Eukaryota; Viridiplantae; Streptophyta; Magnoliopsida; Poales; Poaceae. The record is from RNAcentral.
AAUUAUAACGAUCUGAUUAACAAAUCGAUCCAUAAAUAAAUGAAACAAGCUAAGGACGGAAAAUAGUAAUGGUGAAGUAUAAAAUAACCACUUUAUCGUAUUUUCUCCUACCAUACAAAAACAAAAAGGGUAACAGUAGUGUUUUCCUCGUAUACUUAUCGUUAUAUAAAGCAAGUUCUUUGAAAAAGUCGAAAUUCUCUAUUCGUGAUAGUAAAAUUUAAGCCCGUACAAUGAAUGCACUAACAACUCAAUGAAUGACAUCAACUAUCAUAUCUACAUGAAAGACUACUCUGCCAACCAUUUUAUCAUCAUCAUUUAUUAUAUCUAAGUCGACAUAAAUGAAACGGGACGAGAGGGACUUCAAUAAUUCACUAAGUAGACAAGAAACGAAGUGUACAAUAUGGUGACAGGAGCUACCUCCGUUAACCCUAGAUCGUUUAAACUUAAAGGUAGAAUGUAAGUCUCUGUAGAGUUAACGAAGUCAUACGGUAAGAGAAGAGGAGAAACUGCUAUGUGUCUUGUUUGAAAGAAAUUGCAAAUGACGUCGUAAACCUUCAUAAAACGCGUAGUGCCACACAACCUCUCUCACUCCGGUGAAGUAUUUUACUGGUCAACGUCACGGAAGUUUGAAUGGAUUAAGGACCUUACCGAAGUUUGUUUGUGUUCCCCGUUAUUUCUUUCCCGAUGCCGGUCCCCAAGACUACGACUAGACAUACCUCCCCACUUGCGUGAACGACCUCUGCUAAACCUCUCGGUCAAAAUGAGUUUCCUCUGCUAAACCUCUCGGUCACACUUCUUCCCAGGCUUGUUCGAAGCGGGUGUGUUUCUACGGUACCGGUCCCGACUACAGUAAUUCUCACCUUCGAUACCACCGUACUGUUAACAGGUGGGUAGUGGUCGACAGUGAUUUCUACAUCGUGUCUUCAUCUAGUCCUUCUGGAGCCCCGGUGAUACGUGUUAUAAAAAUAGUCCACAACAAAGGUUACUGUAGACUUCAAUAAACGAGGCCCCAAAGUAGUAGUGCGGACAAACGUGUCAAUGGAUCAUGGGGUCAAAAACGUGAUUUACAUACCAGAAGACACUGGACUGAUAGACUUUCACUUCAAAAACAUUAUCUUGAUAUUACUAAGCAUGCAUACCAGUAGAUACUGGACUGAUAACGAUAUAUACACGAUACAUACUGAUGAC